AAAUUGAAGAGUUUGAUCAUGGCUCAGAUUGAACGCUGGCGGCAGGCCUAACACAUGCAAGUCGAGCGGUAGCACAGAGAGCUUGCUCUCGGGUGACGAGCGGCGGACGGGUGAGUAAUGUCUGGGAAACUGCCUGAUGGAGGGGGAUAACUACUGGAAACGGUAGCUAAUACCGCAUAAUGUCGCAAGACCAAAGUGGGGGACCUUCGGGCCUCAUGCCAUCAGAUGUGCCCAGAUGGGAUUAGCUAGUAGGUGGGGUAACGGCUCACCUAGGCGACGAUCCCUAGCUGGUCUGAGAGGAUGACCAGCCACACUGGAACUGAGACACGGUCCAGACUCCUACGGGAGGCAGCAGUGGGGAAUAUUGCACAAUGGGCGCAAGCCUGAUGCAGCCAUGCCGCGUGUGUGAAGAAGGCCUUCGGGUUGUAAAGCACUUUCAGCGGGGAGGAAGGCGUUAAGGUUAAUAACCUUGUCGAUUGACGUUACCCGCAGAAGAAGCACCGGCUAACUCCGUGCCAGCAGCCGCGGUAAUACG
RNAcentral lists this ribosomal RNA (535 nucleotides) under Klebsiella pneumoniae. Its description in RNAcentral is "bacterial SSU rRNA". It matches the Rfam family "Bacterial small subunit ribosomal RNA", at positions 1 to 527 of the family's 1533-position model. The record is from RNAcentral. Lineage: Bacteria; Pseudomonadati; Pseudomonadota; Gammaproteobacteria; Enterobacterales; Enterobacteriaceae.